This 251-nucleotide ribosomal RNA is filed under the name uncultured prokaryote. RNAcentral describes it as "partial 16S rRNA". It matches the Rfam family "Bacterial small subunit ribosomal RNA", at positions 525 to 775 of the family's 1533-position model. The record is from RNAcentral.
ACGUAGGGGGCAAGCGUUGUCCGGAAUUACUGGGCGUAAAGCGCACGCAGGCUGAAUUAUAGGUCGGUAGUCAAAUACGGAGGCUCAACUUCCGGAUAUCUAUCGAUACUGUAAAUCUAGAGUAUGUGAGAGGGAGGCGGAAUUCCCGGUGUAGCGGUGUAAUGCGUAGAUAUCGGGAGGAACACCAGUGGCGAAGGCGGCUUCCUGGCACAAUACUGACGCUCAUGUUCGAAAGCUAGGGCAGCGAAUGG